UACGGAGGGUGCAAGCGUUAUCCGGAUUCACUGGGUUUAAAGGGAGCGUAGGAGGGCAGGUAAGUCAGACGUGAAAUCCCCCGGCUUAACCUGGGAACUGCGUCUGAUACUGGAAGGCUUGAGUAUGGGAGAGGGAUGUAGAAUUCCAGGUGUAGCGGUGAAAUGCGUAGAUAUCUGGAGGAAUACCGGUGGCGAAGGCGGCAUCCUGGACCAUUACUGACGCUGAGGCGCGAAAGCUAGGGGAGCAAACGGG
RNAcentral lists this ribosomal RNA (253 nucleotides) under uncultured bacterium. Its description in RNAcentral is "partial 16S ribosomal RNA". It matches the Rfam family "Bacterial small subunit ribosomal RNA", at positions 524 to 776 of the family's 1533-position model. The record is from RNAcentral.